GAUGAACGCUGACAGAAUGCUUAACACAUGCAAGUCUACUUGAAUUUGGGUUUUUAACUUAGGUUUGGGUGGCGGACGGGUGAGUAACGCGUAAAGAACUUGCCUCACAGCUAGGGACAACAUUUAGAAAUGAAUGCUAAUACCUAAUAUUAUGAUAAUAGGGCAUCCUAUAAUUAUGAAAGCUAUAUGCGCUGUGAGAGAGCUUUGCGUCCUAUUAGCUAGUUGGUAAGGUAAAGGCUUACCAAGGCGAUGAUAGGUAGCCGGCCUGAGAGGGUGGACGGCCACAAGGGGACUGAGAUACGGCCCUUACUCCUACGGGAGGCAGCAGUGGGGAAUAUUGGACAAUGGAGGAAACUCUGAUCCAGCAAUUCUGUGUGUGUGAAGAAGGUCUUCGGAUUGUAAAACACUUUUAGUUGGGAAGAAACAAAUGACGGUAC
Molecule: ribosomal RNA, 437 nt
Filed under: Fusobacteria bacterium oral taxon 220
Lineage: Bacteria; Fusobacteriati; Fusobacteriota
Description: bacterial SSU rRNA
Rfam family: Bacterial small subunit ribosomal RNA
Source: RNAcentral